This 209-nucleotide long non-coding RNA is filed under the name Elaeis guineensis (African oil palm). RNAcentral describes it as "long non-coding RNA (EGUI_LNC071034)". The record is from RNAcentral. Lineage: Eukaryota; Viridiplantae; Streptophyta; Magnoliopsida; Arecales; Arecaceae.
AAUCCAUGAUAUUUUCAUGAUUUCCAACCUACAAUUAAUAAAGAUUGUUUCCCUUUGAUAUUCACCAUUUUCUCUUAACAUAUUCGAUCUUGACUAUACAGGAGCUGUUUGUUUAUCAUGGAAUGGAACAUUCUAUGGGAAAAGGGACAACUUCUAUUUUUCAGCUGCACAAGUUAAACAUAUACGUGCAGAAAGCGAGCUUCCACACA